This 671-nucleotide small RNA is filed under the name Pongo abelii (Sumatran orangutan). Its description in RNAcentral is "processed transcript". The record is from RNAcentral. Lineage: Eukaryota; Metazoa; Chordata; Mammalia; Primates; Hominidae.
AUAAACCUGUGAUCAGAAACCUGGAAUCUAGAAAUUUAUUCAGGACUUGCAGAAUUUGUAGCAUGUCUACAUUAUUGGAGAUCUAUUGAAAGGGCAAGAAAAAGAUGAUUGCCUUUUGGAGACUCCCAGCAACUGCGACUGGUCCGGAUCCUGCGGAGUACUGUGAUGGUUCGUGUUGGAGGUGGAUGGAUGGCACUUGAUGAGUUCUUAGUGAAAAAUGAUCCUUGCAGGGCCAAAGGAAGGACAAACAUGGAACUGCGUGAGAAGUUCAUUUUAGCAGACGGUGCCAGCCAGGGUAUGGCUGCUUUCCGACCCCGAGGCCGAAGAUCCCGGCCGUCAUCACGAGGCGCUUCACCCAACAGAUCCACUUCUGUGUCCAGUCAGGCUGCACAGGCGGCCUCCCCACAGGUCCCUGCCACCACCACACCCAAGAUUCUCCAUCCUUUAACACGCAAUUAUGGUAAACCAUGGUUGACAAACAGCAAAAUGUCAACUCCUUGUAAAGCAGCAGAGUGCUCAGACUUUCCCGUGCCAUCUGCAGAGGGAACGCCAAUACAAGGAAGCAAGCUUCGACUUCCAGGAUAUUUAUCAGGGAAAGGCUUCCACUCUGGGGAGGACAGCGGCUUGAUAACAACUGCAGCUGCCAGAGUCCGAACACAGUUUGCUGAUUC